AGGGUUUGAUCCUGGCUCAGAACGAACGCUGGCGGCGUGCUUAACACAUGCAAGUCGAGUGCGCGUUCCGUAGCAAUACGGGAUGGCGCACGGCGCACGGGUGCGUAACACGUGGGUAACCUGCCCUUUGGUGGGGAAUAACUCCGCGAAAGCGGAGCUAAUUCCGCAUAAGAUCCGCAAGGAUGAAAGCCGAGAGGCGCCGAUGGAGGGGCCCGCGCACGAUUAGCUAGUUGGUAGGGUAACGGCCUACCAAGGCUUUGAUCGUUAGCUGGUCUGAGAGGAUGGCCAGCCACACUGGAACUGAGACACGGUCCAGACUCCUACGGGAGGCAGCAGUGGGGAAUCUUGCACAAUGGGCGAAAGCCUGAUGCAGCGACGCCGCGUGGGGGAUGAAGCAUUUCGGUGUGUAAACCCCUUUCGAUCCGGACGAAUGCCCGCAAGGGAUUGACGGUACGGAUAUAAGAAGCCCCGGCUAACUACGUGCCAGCAGCCGCGGUAAGACGUAGGGGGCCAGCGUUGUUCAGAAUUACUGGGUGUAAAGGGUUCGUAGGCGGUGCGGCAAGUUGGGAGUGAAAUCUCUGGGCUUAACCCAGAGGCUGCUUCCAAAACUGCUGUGCUUGAGUGUGGGAGAGGCGCGUGGAAUUGCAGGUGUAGCGGUGAAAUGCGUAGAUAUCUGCAGGAACACCCGUGGCGAAAGCGGCGCGCUGGACCACUACUGACGCUGAGGAACGAAAGCUAGGGGAGCAAACAGGAUUAGAUACCCUGGUAGUCCUAGCCCUAAACGAUCAGGACUUGGGGUGCCACCCGUUCGGGUGUCGUCCCGGAGCUAACGCGUUAAGUCC
RNAcentral lists this ribosomal RNA (842 nucleotides) under uncultured Holophagae bacterium. RNAcentral describes it as "bacterial SSU rRNA". It matches the Rfam family "Bacterial small subunit ribosomal RNA", at positions 8 to 867 of the family's 1533-position model. The record is from RNAcentral. Lineage: Bacteria; Pseudomonadati; Acidobacteriota; Holophagae.